GUUUAGUUCUGUCAGGGCCUCUUUUCUAUCCACAUUUAUUUUAGAAUAUAUUUUUAAAAGUCUAUAUAAACUGAAGAGCUGUUUAAAAGCACUUGGAGUAUUGUUUUUCCAGCAAUUUAUUCCAGUUUGUUUGCUUGUUCCUUUUGCAUAAGCUCCUUGUGUUCAAAUUUGCCCUCUCUCCAAAUUCAGGACAUCCUCAAUUUGAUGAUCACAGAAGAUUUUCUGCCUACCCAUCCUUAAAAUUUCCAGCAGUGUUUUCAAUAUCUAUACUUAUAAAUCACUCCUCUGUUUUCUCAGAAGAUCCAUAAAAAUAUUAUCAUCUUUUUGCAGCCUGAGAAGACACUGUACAACAUUUCCACUCACUGUUUUUGGUUUGGAAUGCUUCAGGUGAAAAGCCUACAAUUAUGCAAAAGUCAGUGCUGUUCCUUCCACCAAAGCUUUCUUUCACUUUCUCAGUCAGUUCAAAAUUUACAACAAAAUUUGUUUCUAACUGGGCAACAGAGGAUUCCCUUUCACAUCAGUCAGCUUUGUCUUCCUCCAUUUUUGUUGUUUAUAUGUGGAACUGAACAAUAACUGAAACAGUUCACUCUUUUCCCAGAACGUUAUAGAAAAGUAAUUUCCCCAAGGACUAAAUUACAUACAUAAAAAUACUGUCAUCAGCACAGUGGACUGAUUGAUGUUGUUUUGAUAAAGUAGAAAGCUGUAUCUGGUGUAUUUGAAAGGAGCACAUGUGACUCCUGUGAAUCAUAAGCAUAAAUUCCGGCCACCAGGCCUGCUCGUGAGAUCUGUACAGUUUCUGCUGGUGAGUCAUCUGAUUGCCAAAGUAAUACAUGCAGCUUUUCAGUAUGAUUUCAUCAGAUUCUAGGUCCAAUUGAUACUUAGAUGCCUGUGAUGUCAAUUCCUUUUCCAUAAUCUAAUACAGUGAAAACUGUUUCCCUGAAUAUUUUCAACAUGAAUGUGCAAAGAGUAAUUUAGGCUGAUGCAAUCGGCUAUAAAUCACCUGAGCCGAGAUUCAUUUAGAAUGAUCUAAUGAAAACAUGGACUCCCCAUAUUCACAGCAGAGAAGUUUUUCACAUUGAACACAGACCAGAGAAGUGUUUCCACUAAUUUAUAGGAUGAAAAAAAAAAAAAAACUACUGCCUUUCAUUUCUCUACUCUUCCGACAACUCUGAGAACAAUGGUUCCUGAGAGUGACAAUAUCUGAGGAAAGAGCAGGUCCUGCAACCAACGAGAAAUUCUCCUGCAGCAUUUCAAAGCAGGCAAGAUGGAGAGUAUUUGAGCGGUCAAAUAGAGGAUAUGAGAAGAAAAAAAGAAUAACUUCUAUGUGGAAAACCAUUCAUCAAAGACUGCAUCUGUGAAGGUGUGCAGGAGGACAAAAAUAGGAUCAUUUGGAGACAAAUGGGUUUGUCCCCCUGUUCCAUUCAGGAAUAGAUGAGCCAAAUUGUGAAGACUUCGAACAGCAGGGUCAUACUUUCCCGUGGGGUCACUGUAACCUAGACACAUGAUAACCUUGCAGAAGACAGACAAUGAUGGAAACCUCCUGACCCCUUCUACCUCUUCAUCAGAACCAAAAUUUACCUCUGUUUCCUCCUUACGCACUCUAAUAAUCUGCCAUGAGACGGGAUGUUAGAAGUUACAUCACAAGAGGAGGGAAUGAAGAAUUUGGUAGCACUGAGGUGCUGGAAGAGGGAUAGAGAGCACCGUGAGAGCGGUGUGGAGGAUUGCUGUAAUGUGACUGUGGAAGCCAAGCCAGGAGGAUGAGGUUCCAAGUGCAGUAACCUUGCUCAGGCACAAGAUGAUGGACUAGAGGAGGCACUCCCAAUCACUGUUACCCCAUGGACUCUGUAUGGUUAACAAAUAUCACUUAAAUUUAAAUUAAGCAGAUAAUUAAAAUAAGUUAUGUCUAUAACUGUGUGAGUUUGAUUACUUAAGGCUUUUAUUUGGGGGUGCUAUAGCAUCCUCCCUUUUCAUUGCAGAGUCACGGAAUAGGGUUACAGGGUUAUACUAUUAGUAAUAUAAAAGAAUUUCUGCACUUGAUUGUCAAUUAACAUCUCUUAGUAACCCUCCACUAAACAGGAAGCCCAGGGACCUAGAAUGUCCAGUAUGAGGGAGUGGGUAGGAAGUAGUAGUCUUCAUGCAGAAAUGCAUACCCAUUCAGAAAAGCGGC
Molecule: long non-coding RNA, 2167 nt
Filed under: Homo sapiens (human)
Lineage: Eukaryota; Metazoa; Chordata; Mammalia; Primates; Hominidae
Description: HSALNT0146707
Source: RNAcentral